This 547-nucleotide ribosomal RNA is filed under the name uncultured bacterium. Its description in RNAcentral is "bacterial SSU rRNA". It matches the Rfam family "Bacterial small subunit ribosomal RNA", at positions 358 to 916 of the family's 1533-position model. The record is from RNAcentral.
GGAGUAUUGGGCAAUGGAGGAAACUCUGACCCAGCGACGCCGCGUGCGGGAUGAAGGCCUUCGGGUUGUAAACCGCUUUCAGUAGGGAAGAAGCGAAAGUGACGGUACCUACAAAAGAAGCACCGGCUAACUAUGUGCCAGCAGCCGCGGUAAUACAUAGGGUGCAAGCGUUGUCCGGAAUUAUUGGGCGUAAAGAGCUCGUAGGUCGUUUGUUACGUCGGAUGUGAAAACCUGAGGCUCAACCUCAGGCCUGCAUUCGAUACGGGCAAACUAGAGUUUGGUAGGGGAGACUGGAAUUCCUGGUGUAGCGGUGGAAUGCGCAGAUAUCAGGAGGAACACCAAUGGCGAAGGCAGGUCUCUGGGCCAAUACUGACACUGAGGAGCGAAAGUCUGGGGAGCGAACAGGAUUAGAUACCCUGGUAGUCCAGACCGUAAACGGUGGGCACUAGUUGUGGGAACCUUCCACGGUUUCUGCGACGCAGCUAACGCAUUAAGUGCCCCGCCUGGGGAGUACGAUCGCAAGAUUAAAACUCAAAGGAAUUGACGG